Molecule: ribosomal RNA, 497 nt
Filed under: uncultured bacterium
Lineage: Bacteria
Description: partial 16S ribosomal RNA
Rfam family: Bacterial small subunit ribosomal RNA
Source: RNAcentral
GAUGAACGCUGGCGGCGUGCCUAAUACAUGCAAGUCGAGCGAACAGACGUGGAGCUUGCUCCUUUGACGUUAGCGGCGGACGGGUGAGUAACACGUGGAUAACCUACCUAUAAGACUGGGAUAACUUCGGGAAACCGGAGCUAAUACCGGAUAACAUGUUGAACCGCAUGGUUCAACAGUGAAAGACGGUUUUGCUGUCACUUAUAGAUGGAUCCGCGCCGCAUUAGCUAGUUGGUAAGGUAACGGCUUACCAAGGCAACGAUGCGUAGCCGACCUGAGAGGGUGAUCGGCCACACUGGAACUGAGACACGGUCCAGACUCCUACGGGAGGCAGCAGUAGGGAAUCUUCCGCAAUGGGCGAAAGCCUGACGGAGCAACGCCGCGUGAGUGAAGAAGGUCUUCGGAUCGUAAAACUCUGUUAUUAGGGAAGAACAAAUGUGUAAGUAACUAUGCACGUCUUGACGGUACCUAAUCAGAAAGCCACGGCUAACUACGUG